RNAcentral lists this long non-coding RNA (286 nucleotides) under Heterocephalus glaber (naked mole-rat). Its description in RNAcentral is "lncRNA (ENSHGLG00100047895.1)". Lineage: Eukaryota; Metazoa; Chordata; Mammalia; Rodentia; Bathyergidae. The record is from RNAcentral.
GCCCAGGUGAAGAUGGCAGAACUCCCAAGAAAGGACCAGGAUCACAGAUCACCUGGUGCAAAACAGCUCUGUUGGAGAAUCACAGGACACUUUGUGAGAGCAAACUACUAAUUCAGGGAGGUGUGAAGUUCCUGAAGGUUCAAGCUUUAACAAGGAACCUACCCGAGAACAUUUGAUUUUGCCUCCUUUUGAAGAUUUCAUGGAAAUGUGACAUUGCAUUGCCAUUAAAUAGAUUCAUCUCUCACACUGCUAGUCUUUUUCCAAUAGUGUUUCUACAAAAUUUUUC